Molecule: transfer RNA, 63 nt
Filed under: Mus musculus (house mouse)
Lineage: Eukaryota; Metazoa; Chordata; Mammalia; Rodentia; Muridae
Rfam family: tRNA
About the family: Transfer RNA (tRNA) molecules are approximately 80 nucleotides in length. Their secondary structure includes four short double-helical elements and three loops (D, anti-codon, and T loops). Further hydrogen bonds mediate the characteristic L-shaped molecular structure. tRNAs have two regions of fundamental functional importance: the anti-codon, which is responsible for specific mRNA codon recognition, and the 3' end, to which the tRNAs corresponding amino acid is attached (by aminoacyl-tRNA synthetases). tRNAs cope with the degeneracy of the genetic code in two manners: having more than one tRNA (with a specific anti-codon) for a particular amino acid; and 'wobble' base-pairing, i.e. permitting non-standard base-pairing at the 3rd anti-codon position.
Source: Rfam by way of RNAcentral
GGGGAUUUAGCUCAGUGGUAGAGCACUUGCCUAGCAAGUACAAGACCCUGGGUUCAGUCCUCA